AAGUUCUUAGAGGGUUUCUCUGUAGUAUGUUUUCAAAACAUAUGCUUGUCUCAGCCAAAGAACU
RNAcentral lists this transfer RNA (64 nucleotides) under Ctenolepisma longicaudatum (long-tailed silverfish). RNAcentral describes it as "tRNA-Ser". Lineage: Eukaryota; Metazoa; Arthropoda; Insecta; Zygentoma; Lepismatidae. The record is from RNAcentral.